Molecule: ribosomal RNA, 259 nt
Filed under: uncultured bacterium
Lineage: Bacteria
Description: partial 16S ribosomal RNA
Rfam family: Bacterial small subunit ribosomal RNA
Source: RNAcentral
GAUCCUGGCUCGGGAUGAACGCUAGCUACAGGCUUAACACAUGCAAGUCGAGGGGCAUCAGGAAGAAAGCUUGCUUUCUUUGCUGGCGACCGGCGCACGGGUGAGUAACACGUAUCCAACCUGCCCUUUACUCGGGGAUAGCCUUUCGAAAGAAAGAUUAAUACCCGAUGGGAUAAUCAUUCCGCAUGGGUUUGAUUAUUAAAGGAUUCCGGUAAAGGAUGGGGAUGCGUUCCAUUAGGUUGUUGGUGAGGUAACGGCU